RNAcentral lists this ribosomal RNA (496 nucleotides) under uncultured bacterium. RNAcentral describes it as "partial 16S ribosomal RNA". It matches the Rfam family "Bacterial small subunit ribosomal RNA", at positions 28 to 506 of the family's 1533-position model. The record is from RNAcentral.
GAUGAACGCUGGCGGCGUGCCUAAUACAUGCAAGUCGAGCGAACAGACGAGGAGCUUGCUCCUCUGACGUUAGCGGCGGACGGGUGAGUAACACGUGGAUAACCUACCUAUAAGACUGGGAUAACUUCGGGAAACCGGAGCUAAUACCGGAUAACAUGUUGAACCGCAUGGUUCAACAGUGAAAGACGGUUUUGCUGUCACUUAUAGAUGGAUCCGCGCCGCAUUAGCUAGUUGGUAAGGUAACGGCUUACCAAGGCAACGAUGCGUAGCCGACCUGAGAGGGUGAUCGGCCACACUGGAACUGAGACACGGUCCAGACUCCUACGGGAGGCAGCAGUAGGGAAUCUUCCGCAAUGGGCGAAAGCCUGACGGAGCAACGCCGCGUGAGUGAAGAAGGUCUGCGGAUCGUAAAACUCUGUUAUUAGGGAAGAACAAAUGUGUAAGUAACUAUGCACGUCUUGACGGUACCUAAUCAGAAAGCCACGGCUAACUACGU